RNAcentral lists this long non-coding RNA (264 nucleotides) under Pan troglodytes (chimpanzee). RNAcentral describes it as "lincRNA". The record is from RNAcentral. Lineage: Eukaryota; Metazoa; Chordata; Mammalia; Primates; Hominidae.
UGCCGCCAUGUAAACGUUUUUUGCUCCUGCUUCGUCUUCUGCUGUGAUUGUGAGGCCUCCCCAGCCACGUGGAACUCCUCAUCACUCAAUGCAGAUGUUACUUUAAGACAUUCUGGAGCAGCGUCAUGUGCAGGAACAAUAAGGAAGUUAGUGCUUUUGUAAUUCCUGAACAACUGUGUCUUACACUUACUAAGGGAUUCAUGGGCAAUAUGACUGAAUAGGAACAGCUCCAGUCUGAAGCUCCCAGUGAGACCAACAUAGAAG